GGUGUGUUAAUUUAAUGGUAGAAUAUAGUACUUCGGUUACUGAUAUAUAAGUUCAAAUCUUAUACACACUU
This is a non-coding RNA of Xylaria palmicola, 71 nucleotides long. Lineage: Eukaryota; Fungi; Ascomycota; Sordariomycetes; Xylariales; Xylariaceae. The record is from the annotation of a GenBank genome assembly.